AAGUCGUAACAAGGUAACCGUAGGUGAACCUGCGGUUGGAUCAUUAGUGGUUUUUACGUAGCGCUGUUGUAGUGUUUCUGGGGGGUUUUCUUUGGUUUUGGUUUUGGUUUUGGUGUCUUUUUGUUUGUCUGUUUUUGUGCAUUGCCUUGUGCUGCCUUGUGCUGCCUUGUGCGGUGCCGUGGCAGUACAAACGGAUCGACGGCAACACUCGGACCAGACCCAAGAACCCUUGCAGACAAUAGACGUCUUUGCUUGCUUUGAUGAAACCAAAUCAAAAACAACUUUUGACAACGGAUCUCUUGGUUCUG
This 308-nucleotide unclassified non-coding RNA is filed under the name fungal sp. RNAcentral describes it as "partial internal transcribed spacer region". The stretch from base 1 to 46 matches the Rfam family "Eukaryotic small subunit ribosomal RNA", at positions 1786 to 1831 of the family's 1831-position model. The record is from RNAcentral. Lineage: Eukaryota; Fungi.